AGUUCCUAGGUUCCCCAAUGAUCUUAAGUUUCUGUGGGCUGGUGAGAUGGCUCAGUGGGUAAGGCAUUUGCUUGUCAAGCUGAGUUCAAUCCCUGGGACCCACAUAGUGGAAGAACAGAACCAACUUCCAUUAAUUGUCUUCUGACUUUCAUAGGUGCCGUGGCAUACACACACUGUAUAAAGUUCUAUGUCAUCUUAAUUUUCCCUGUCGUCUUUGAGCCACUGAAGUACUCAUACCUACUAGAAUUCGGCAUAUGUGCAGCAUGCCGACAUGUGAAUAGAAAAUAUCAUCUCACGGGAAAGAUUACGAGCAUCUUCAAGAGGGACUGAUGCUUCCCACUUUCUUCUACAAGGACUGAGAGAGCCACAGGAGUGGAUCAUACAUUAUCCUGCCCCAUCUGAAAAAAAUCCAACUCAGUGAUUGAUUUUACAGCUGCCUGUGUCUGAAAAUUCCUCAGCGUGAAUUCCAGCAGGUGAAGAGAAUUCUUCUGUAGUCUGCACAGAACCUUGAGUUCUGUCCCCAGGGCUUCGAGAGACAGGCAUGGGAGCAUAUACCUCUAAUGUCAGCACUUGGGAGGUGGACGCUGAAGCUGAGGAGUUGAAGGCCAUCCUUCACUACUUAAUGAG
Molecule: non-coding RNA, 627 nt
Organism: Peromyscus maniculatus bairdii (prairie deer mouse)
Lineage: Eukaryota; Metazoa; Chordata; Mammalia; Rodentia; Cricetidae
Source: RefSeq, a predicted model, not a curated record